AUGGCGAGUCCGGCUGCCGUGUCCGCCGUCGCUGUGGCCCUGGCGCUGCUGGUGGCGUCAGCGGACGCGUGGCUGCACGAGGAGUUCGACACGGAGGGCAACGUGCGGGCCGGCUACGACGCGCGGGGGCAGCAGGUGGCGUCGAUCGUCCUCGACCGGCAGUCCGGCGGCGCCUUCCGCUCCCGGCGCAGCUACCUCUACGGCCAGUUCAGCGUCCAGAUCAAGCUCGUCCCCGGCAACUCCGCCGGCACCGUCGCCUCCUUCUACCUGUCGUCGGGCGACGGGCCGAGGCACGACGAGAUCGACAUGGAGUUCAUGGGCAACAGCACCGGUCAACCCGUGGCGCUCAACACCAACGUGUGGGCCAACGGCGACGGCAAGAAGGAGCAGCAGUUCUACCUCUGGUUCGACCCGGCCGCCGACUACCACACCUACACCAUCAUCUGGAACGCCAAGAACGUCAUCUUCAAGGUGGACGACCUCUUCCUCCGCUGCUUCACCCGCCACGCCGACCUGCCGUACCCGGGCGCCAAGCCCAUGGCGGUGCACGCGACGCUCUGGGACGGCAGCUACUGGGCGACGCAGCGGGGCAAGGUGAAGGUGGACUGGACCACCGCGCCCUUCGUCGCCUCCUACCGCGGCUACUCCGCCGACGCCUGCGUGCCCGCCGGCGCCGGCCGCCCGCUCGCCUGCCCCGCCGGCACCGGCCGCUGGAUGCGGCGCCGGCCCAGCGCCGCCGAGCGGGGCACCGUCGCCUGGGCUAAGAAGAAUUACAUGCGCUACAACUACUGCGACGACGGCUGGCGGUUCCCCAAGGGGUUCCCCGCCGAGUGCUCCCGCGGCUGA
This 846-nucleotide ribosomal RNA is filed under the name Triticum aestivum (bread wheat). Its description in RNAcentral is "partial small subunit ribosomal RNA". The record is from RNAcentral. Lineage: Eukaryota; Viridiplantae; Streptophyta; Magnoliopsida; Poales; Poaceae.